RNAcentral lists this ribosomal RNA (677 nucleotides) under uncultured archaeon. RNAcentral describes it as "bacterial SSU rRNA". It matches the Rfam family "Archaeal small subunit ribosomal RNA", at positions 321 to 999 of the family's 1478-position model. The record is from RNAcentral.
CCCUACGGGGUGCAGCAGGCGAGAAAACUUUGCAAUGUGCGAAAGCACGACAAGGUUAAUCCGAGUGGUUUCUGCUAAAGGAACCUUUUGCCAGUCCUAGAAACACUGGUGAAUAAGGGGUGGGCAAGUUCUGGUGUCAGCCGCCGCGGUAAAACCAGCACCUCAAGUGGUCAGGAUGAUUAUUGGGCCUAAAGCAUCCGUAGCCUGCUUUGUUAGUUUUCGGUUAAAUCCAUUUGCUCAACGAAUGGGCUGCCGGGAAUACUGCAAAGCUAGGGAGUGGGAGAGGUAGACGGUACUCGGUAGGAAGGGGUAAAAUCCUUUGAUCUAUUGAUGACCACCUGUGGCGAAGGCGGUCUACCAGAACACGUCCGACGGUGAGGGAUGAAAGCUGGGGGAGCAAACCGGAUUAGAUACCCGGGUAGUCCCAGCUGUAAACUAUGCAAACUCAGUGAUGCAUUGGCUUGAUGCCAAUGCAGUGCUGCAGGGAAGCCGUUAAGUUUGCCGCCUGGGAAGUACGUACGCAAGUAUGAAACUUAAAGGAAUUGGCGGGGGAGCACCACAAGGGGUGAAGCCUGCGGUUCAAUUGGAGUCAACGCCAGAAAUCUUACCCGGAGAGACAGCAGAAUGAAGGUCAAGCUGAAGACUUUACCAGACAAGCUGAGAGGUGGUGCAUGGCC